UCCAAAAUUAGAACCGUCAAACCGUGAUUGCUCAACGGGCGACUACUUUAUAAAACAUAUCUUGAGAUUACAAGAAUACUGAAUUGUAAGAUUUCUUUUUUUUUUAGAGAGAGAGAUAGGUAGCACGCUACCCGCUUCGUUUAUUUUAUUUAGAAAUAAACUUAGCUGAAAAUGUGAAUCAACUAGGAUUCGAAUUUGGGUCUCGAAUACCAACGACCAAGCCCUUUGCCACUUGCUCUACGAACGGUCGGUCUGAAUUAUAAGAUUUCUAUUUUGCAUUUCCCGCAUACAAGAUGGUUGACGGACACUUAUCAUUGGGACUCAUCUGUUUCUUACAAUAGGAAAAAAAUACUUCAAGGGAGAGCCUUCCAACGAUGCCUUGUUGCUGAGAAGCUCCAAUUCGUUGUCGGUUUUGUCUUUAUCUAAGAUUUAUAAUUCUUCCCUCUAGUAUUUAAUUUUUUUUUAAAAAAAAUAGUAUUAAAAAAUUACCAGCACACUCUUGGAUGAAGAUAAAAUUAA
This 519-nucleotide long non-coding RNA is filed under the name Ananas comosus (pineapple). RNAcentral's name for it is "long non-coding RNA (ACOM_LNC030758)". Lineage: Eukaryota; Viridiplantae; Streptophyta; Magnoliopsida; Poales; Bromeliaceae. The record is from RNAcentral.